UGAGGAUUUGAUCCUGGUCCAGGACGAACGCUAGCGACGUGCUUUAAGCAUGCAAGUAGAGCGAGCCCGCAAGGGCAAGCUGCGAACGGCUGAGUAACACGUAGGAACCUACACUUUGGUGGGGUACAGCUCGCCGAAAGGCGGGGUAAUACCGCAUGACCUCGUGCUUUGCACAAGGAAAUUACGAAUAACACAAUAAAUUCCAAAUAACAAAUUACAAACAAUUAUCAAUUAAUAAAUAACAAAUAAUUAACAUUGUUUUUUUCAUUGAAAAUUGGAACUUGAAUUUUGUUUGUAUAUUGGAAUUUGUGAUUUGUUACAAGUGAUUUUCUCGCGCAGAGUGCGAGAAAAGGAUGUAACUGUCCGCCGAAGAAGGGGCCUGCGGCCUAUCAGCUUGUUGGUGGGGUAACGGCCUACCAAGGCUACGACGGGUAGGGGGCGUGAGAGCGUGUUCCCCCAGAAUGGGACUGAGACACGGCCCAUACACCUACGGGUGGCAGCAACUGGGAAUCGUGCGCAAUGGACGAAAGUCUGACGCCGCGACGUCGCGUGUGGGAUGACGGCCUUCGGGUUGUAAACCACUUUUGCCAAAGAGUGAUUACUUUGGAGAAUAAGCACCGGCUAACUACGUGCCAGCAGCAGCGGUAAUACGUAGGGUGCAAGCGUUGUCCGAAUUUAUUGGGCGUAAAGAGUUCGUAGGCGUUUCCUUACAUCUUGUUUCAAAUACCGGAGCUCAACUUCGGGAAGGGGCAAGAGAUGGAGGAAAUUGGAGAGUGCAGGGGCUACUGGAACUUGCGGUGUAGGAGUGAAAUCCGUUGAUAUCGUAAGGAACACCGAGGGCGAAGGCAAGUAGCUGGGCACACCUUGACGCUGAGGAACGAAAGCUAGGGUAGCGAAAGGGAUUAGAGACCCCUGUAGUCCUAGCCGUAAACGAUGCUCGCUAGGGAUUUGCCACGCAAAGGAUAUGUCCUUUGCGGGAAUUUCUAAGCACAAAUAUCUAAAUUCUAAGUAAUAUCCAAUUUCCAAUUUUCCAAAUUCAAAACAGACUAAAGUGUUAUGUAUUUGGAGUUUGGAAUUCGAGAUAUUUGAAUUUGUUUAGGAUUUCGAAUUUGGGAUUUAGAGUUUCCACGCAAAAACGACACAUUUUUUGCGUGGUGAGUCCCGUAAGCUAACGCGUUAAGCGAGCCGCCUGGGGAGUACGAGCGCAAGCUUAAAACUCAAAGGAAUUGACGGGGACCCGCACAACCAGUGGAGCAUGUGGUUUAAUUCGAGACGAACCGAAGAACCUUACCUAGACUUGACAUGCUACCGUUUUACUCUGAUAGAAAUAUCGGGGGAUCCUUCGAAAGUUGGAUGGUAGCACAGGUGUUGCAUGGCUAUCGUCAGCUCGUGUCGUGGGAUGUUCCCUUCAGUGGGGUAACGAGCGCAACCCCUGCCGUAUGUUAAAUUAUUCAUACGGGACUGGCCAGCUUAGCUGGCAGGAAGUGGGGACGAUGUUAAGUCCGCAUGGCCCUUAUGUCUAGGGCAACACACAUGCUACAAUGGAGCCGACAAUGGGUUGCCAAGUGGUAACACGGAGCUAAUCCCAUCAAACGGCUUCUCAGUUGGGAUUGAGGGCUGCAACUCGCCCUCAUGAACGCGGAAUUGGUAGUAAUCGGAAAUCAGCUAAGUUCCGGUGAAUACGUUCUCGGGUCUUGUACACACCGCCGAAAUUAAAACGCGCGUGGCAGUCAUAUUUUCUAACAAGUUAAAAUCUUGUCUUUGUUGGAUAACUUUAAUUGUCUAAUGGAGUAGCCAAAAAAAUAUAUAAGCAGUCCUAGUCGGGUAACUGACUAGGGUGGAGGGCUUGAGGCAAAGAACAGGGAUAGAAUACAAAAAGAUAGACGACUUCUGUUGGGCGGUCAGAAGGAAGUCGUUUUUACAAAUCUUACUAUUCAUGUUUGGAACAGAAAGUAUGAUGACCCAUGGAGAUCCUUACAGGAUUGAGGUAAUUGCCUGUAAGGAAGUCAGCUUUUCCAUAAUAGGUAAUUGAGCAAGUCUGACUUGCUUGACAUUUUCGGGUUAUAUUUGUAAUCUGAAAUUACAAUUACUGAAGGGAAAAACGUAAAUGUUAUUAACUCCAGAUUAUAUAGUUGGUCUUACUGAAGGGGAAGGAUGUUUCUUAGUAUGCUUGAGACGCGAUAAUCGGAUUGAAUUUCGAUUUUUUAUAGCUCAGGCAAUAGGGAAUAGACCUCUUCUUGAAGAAAUUAAAAAGUUUUUCAAAGUUGGAAGUGUUUACCAAAAGUCUAAUGUAAAGGGAAAGUUACCGGCAUAUGUCUUUGAAAUUUCGAAAAGAGAUGACAUAUAUAAAGUACUUAUUCCAUUUUUUCAAAAAAACAAAUUGAAAGGCAUUAAAUCUAAGUCGUUUGCAGUUUUUGAAGAAAUUGCAAAAUUAGUUAAAGGUAGACAAGAUAAACGUAAACUAACUUCUGAAGAACUGAACUACAUAACCAACUUAAGAUUUGGAAUGAAUAAACAUUACGGCUCGCUAAGUGCGGAAAAACCGCUCGCUUAGUGGGAACGCGCAAUAGCCUUAAUGAAGCGCAAUCCGUCAAGUUAGUGAAGUUGGGGGCACCCGAAUCCCGGAUGUUCCGGGGCAAGGUGAAACCAGCGACAAGAAUUAAGUCGUAACAAGGUAUCCGUUCUGGAAGGAGCGGAUGGAUCACCUCCUU
This 2711-nucleotide ribosomal RNA is filed under the name Candidatus Woesebacteria bacterium GW2011_GWA1_39_12. Its description in RNAcentral is "bacterial SSU rRNA". The stretch from base 1 to 1780 matches the Rfam family "Bacterial small subunit ribosomal RNA". The record is from RNAcentral. RNAcentral also lists the same sequence under 1 other name. Lineage: Bacteria; Candidatus Woeseibacteriota.